Molecule: long non-coding RNA, 331 nt
Organism: Morone saxatilis (striped sea-bass)
Lineage: Eukaryota; Metazoa; Chordata; Actinopteri; Moronidae
Exons: 3
Source: RefSeq, a predicted model, not a curated record
UAAUGUCUAUGCCUAUCACUGAAGUUACCCUCUCUACCCUCAGGUAACAUCACCACCCUCUGCUAUGUCCCAGAAUUCAUCCCCACCACUCGCAGCUCCAGCAGUAGAUGAGACCUCACAAGUGGUUUCAGAUCAGGUGGCAUCUACAUCCUCUGCCAUAUCCAUGAAUUCAUUCCCACCACUCUCAAUUGCUCCAGUACAAGAUGAGACCGCGCCUGUGGCUGAGAGUACCCAAGCUCAAAGUGUGAUUGCAAAUCAGGCUCUUCAAGAAUGGCAAGCAAUACGUGCCCAGCAAGACCAGGAGUAUAAUGAAAGUUUGUUGGUGGAUCAG